Molecule: long non-coding RNA, 796 nt
Filed under: Danio rerio (zebrafish)
Lineage: Eukaryota; Metazoa; Chordata; Actinopteri; Cypriniformes; Danionidae
Description: lncRNA si:ch211-207c15.7 (ENSDARG00000096422.2)
Source: RNAcentral
GAUAACCAUUGACUUGCAUAGUAUUUGUUUUUCCUACUAUGGAAGUUAUUGGCUACCGGUUUCUAGCAUUCUUCUAAAAUAUCUUCAUAAACGCUUGGAACCACUUGAGGGUGAGUAAAUGUUAAUUGUUUUUAUGUGAACCAUCUCUUUAUUUAUUGACCCUCGUGUUAUUACAAUCCCCAACUUCAGAACGCAGGAUAUUUCAGAUGAAACCCAAGAGCUCUCUAAGCCUCACGACAGCCCCCCAAGAUGUGUAAAGUACAGAAAGGAACCAAAAAUAUCCUCAAAAUUGUGACCUUCAGUGGUUCAACUGUAAUGAUAUAAAGCUACAAGAAUACUUCUGUGUGCAUAAAAACAAUAAAAUAAUAACUUCAUUCAACGGUUUCUUCUUAUUAACGUACAAAUCGAUACAUUUCUCACUUAUAUUUAAGCACAUUCUUUAAAGGAUAGUUCACCCAAAAGUGAAUACAGAGAGGGUAAUCUCACUAUUUACUCACCCUAAAUGUUUGGAAGCCACGUCUAUCAGCUGAUCUGUCUUUGAGCCAAUACGCUGACAGAUCAGCUGAUAAACGUGGCUUUCAAAUGCUCUAGUGUCUAUGUAUAUGUUUUACACUCGGUGAAAAGUGGUGAAUUGUCCCUUUAAACCACUGAUUGUUUUUUGUGUUCACAUUCUCAACAGAUAUGACUGUGAUUGGCUCUGAAGGUCAUCAUUUCACCACUUUUCAUCAAGCGCAAACAUAUACAUGGAUACUAGAGCGUUUGAAAGCCACGUUUAUCAGCUAAUCCAUCAGCAUAU